RNAcentral lists this ribosomal RNA (557 nucleotides) under uncultured Hyphomicrobiales bacterium. RNAcentral describes it as "bacterial SSU rRNA". It matches the Rfam family "Bacterial small subunit ribosomal RNA", at positions 102 to 694 of the family's 1533-position model. Lineage: Bacteria; Pseudomonadati; Pseudomonadota; Alphaproteobacteria; Hyphomicrobiales. The record is from RNAcentral.
ACGGGUGAGUAACGCGUGGGAAUCUACCCAACUCUACGGAAUAACUCAGGGAAACUUGUGCUAAUACCGUAUACGCCCUUCGGGGGAAAGAUUUAUCGGAGUUGGAUGAGCCCGCGUUGGAUUAGCUAGUUGGUGGGGUAAAGGCCUACCAAGGCGACGAUCCAUAGCCGGUCUGAGAGGAUGAUCAGCCACAUUGGGACUGAGACACGGCCCAAACUCCUACGGGAGGCAGCAGUGGGGAAUAUUGGACAAUGGGCGCAAGCCUGAUCCAGCCAUGCCGCGUGUGUGAUGAAGGCCUUAGGGUUGUAAAGCACUUUCACCGGAGAAGAUAAUGACGGUAUCCGGAGAAGAAGCCCCGGCUAACUUCGUGCCAGCAGCCGCGGUAAUACGAAGGGGGCUAGCGUUGUUCGGAAUUACUGGGCGUAAAGCGCACGUAGGCGGAUCGAUCAGUCAGGGGUGAAAUCCCAGAGCUCAACUCUGGAACUGCCUUUGAUACUGUCGAUCUAGAGUAUGGAAGAGGUGAGUGGAAUUCCGAGUGUAGAGGUGAAAUUCGUAGA